AUGAAGCCGGAAAAAAUCUGCUCAACGCAAUUUGAGAAGCACCUGACUUUGUUAGAUUACGAUAAAGUCCUCCCCUGUGGCAAUUCUCAACUUUCUUCAAGGCAUCCUCUGCCAGUCACAUUCCAUCUCCUGAAUUCCAGUGAUGAGUUAGGUAGGUGGGGCAAAGACAGGGGUGGGUCACAGAGCACUGCUGAGGUUGGAAGGGAAGCCCACGACUGCUGGGAAAUGUUUCUUGCAGCCAUCAUCAUUAUAGUACAGAGGUCUCUCAAAUCCAGUGUCAAAAGGAGAAGGGUCCUCUGGACCUGGGCACCAAAGUAACAUUCAUUCUUUUCCUCACAGAUAGAUAAGGGAUCUAUAGUCCUGAAUACCCUCACGGUAGGAGCUAAAUGACACUAAAGUGUCUUUUGCAUUAGGAGUUCCUUGUGAAACUCACGUUAACUUGCUUAUCUCUAACUCCUCUAGAAAGACUAAACUACCCUCAUUUAAGGUGGGUCAUUUCUAGAUAUUGGAGGAUAGCGUUUCACACCAAAGCUGUGAUUCAGUGAAAACCCAUCUUCAGAAGCAGCAUCAGCUGUUCAUACUUCUGUCCCUGUGCUUUGCCCUCCCAACACCCUUAUAACUAUAUUUGAGGAAUGGAUCUGAAACACAAAGAAAAAGAAUUACAUAUCUGUUCAAAAGCACACAUCAGUUCCUUCUGACUCACGGCACGACCUCAUGAAAAAUCUUGCUGGCACACUGAAGGCAUGAAGUAUUGCUCAGGGAAGUGAGAGGAAAAAYGGGAAUAUAUUACACCAGUAUUGUCACCGAAGAAAACACAUUGUUAAAAUCAUGGCCUCAGACUGGUCGGGGCAAGCAAGAUAACAGCUUCUUUGUUUAAGGCUAAUAGCAGUUUGAGGCUUACAAGGAUAUCUACAACAAACAGCUAACCUCCAGAUAAUUCUUAUUCUCCAGGCAGCAGUUUUAAGUACAUAAACUUUCCAGGGAAAAAAGAGUUUUAUAAAUAAAACUACACUACCUGUACA
This 1022-nucleotide long non-coding RNA is filed under the name Dromaius novaehollandiae (emu). Its description in RNAcentral is "lncRNA (ENSDNVG00000003711.1)". Lineage: Eukaryota; Metazoa; Chordata; Aves; Casuariiformes; Dromaiidae. The record is from RNAcentral.